RNAcentral lists this ribosomal RNA (165 nucleotides) under Eperua falcata. RNAcentral's name for it is "5.8S ribosomal RNA". It matches the Rfam family "5.8S ribosomal RNA". Rfam says of the family: 5.8S ribosomal RNA (5.8S rRNA) is a component of the large subunit of the eukaryotic ribosome. It is transcribed by RNA polymerase I as part of the 45S precursor that also contains 18S and 28S rRNA. Functionally, it is thought that 5.8S rRNA may be involved in ribosome translocation. RNAcentral also lists the same sequence under 1 other name. The record is from RNAcentral. Lineage: Eukaryota; Viridiplantae; Streptophyta; Magnoliopsida; Fabales; Fabaceae.
AACGACUCUCGGCAACGGAUAUCUCGGCUCUCGCAUCGAUGAAGAACGUAGCGAAAUGCGAUACUUGGUGUGAAUUGCAGAAUCCCGUGAACCAUCGAGUCUUUGAACGCAAGUUGCGCCCGAGGCCAUUAGGCCGAGGGCACGUCUGGCUGGGUGUCACGCAAC